GGAGGCAGAACCCAGAGGGGAAAUCCAAGAGGGGAAAGAGAGCUCCCACUACAUGGGAGGGGAUUCCACAGAGCUGGAAAUCCAGUGUGGGUGAAGAAGCAGGGGAAUUUAUCCUGGGAGAAAUUCCCAUCUUCCCAAGUUCCUCUGGCCAAUGAAAGGAGUUCCUUUAAACUUC
Molecule: long non-coding RNA, 175 nt
Organism: Sapajus apella (tufted capuchin)
Lineage: Eukaryota; Metazoa; Chordata; Mammalia; Primates; Cebidae
Exons: 3
Source: RefSeq, a predicted model, not a curated record